GAUGAACGCUGGCGGCGUGCCUAAUACAUGCAAGUCGAGCGAACAGACGAGGAGCUUGCUCCUCUGACGUUAGCGGCGGACGGGUGAGUAACACGUGGAUAACCUACCUAUAAGACUGGGAUAACUUCGGGAAACCGGAGCUAAUACCGGAUAAUAUAUUGAACCGCAUGGUUCAAUAGUGAAAGACGGUUUUGCUGUCACUUAUAGAUGGAUCCGCGCCGCAUUAGCUAGUUGGUAAGGUAACGGCUUACCAAGGCAACGAUGCGUAGCCGACCUGAGAGGGUGAUCGGCCACACUGGAACUGAGACACGGUCCAGACUCCUACGGGAGGCAGCAGUAGGGAAUCUUCCGCAAUGGGCGAAAGCUUGACGGAGCAACGCCGCGUGAGUGAUGAAGGUCUUCGGAUCGUAAAACUCUGUUAUUAGGGAAGAACAAAUGUGUAAGUAACUAUGCACGUCUUGACGGUUCCUAAUCAGAAAGCCACGGCUAACUACGU
This 496-nucleotide ribosomal RNA is filed under the name uncultured bacterium. RNAcentral's name for it is "partial 16S ribosomal RNA". It matches the Rfam family "Bacterial small subunit ribosomal RNA", at positions 28 to 506 of the family's 1533-position model. The record is from RNAcentral.